RNAcentral lists this ribosomal RNA (248 nucleotides) under Russula putida. RNAcentral describes it as "partial 28S ribosomal RNA". It matches the Rfam family "Eukaryotic large subunit ribosomal RNA", at positions 104 to 344 of the family's 3401-position model. The record is from RNAcentral. Lineage: Eukaryota; Fungi; Basidiomycota; Agaricomycetes; Russulales; Russulaceae.
AAAGCUCAAAUUUAAAAUCUGGUGGUCUUUGGCCAUCCGAGUUGUAAUUUAGAGAAGCGUCUUCCGCGCUGGACCAUGCAUAAGUCUCCUGGAAUGGAGCGUCAUAGAGGGUGAGAAUCCCGUCUUUGGCAUGGACCCCCAGGGCUUCUGUGAUGCGCUCUCAAAGAGUCGAGUUGUUUGGGAAUGCAGCUCAAAAUGGGUGGUGAACUCCAUCUAAAGCUAAAUAUUGGCGAGAGACCGAUAGCGAA